RNAcentral lists this ribosomal RNA (497 nucleotides) under uncultured bacterium. RNAcentral's name for it is "partial 16S ribosomal RNA". It matches the Rfam family "Bacterial small subunit ribosomal RNA", at positions 28 to 507 of the family's 1533-position model. The record is from RNAcentral.
GAUGAACGCUGGCGGCGUGCCUAAUACAUGCAAGUCGAGCGAACGGACGAGAAGCUUGCUUCUCUGAUGUUAGCGGCGGACGGGUGAGUAACACGUGGAUAACCUACCUAUAAGACUGGGAUAACUUCGGGAAACCGUAGCUAAUACCGGAUAAUAUUUUGAACCGCAUGGUUCAAAAGUGAAAGACGGUCUUGCUGUCACUUAUAGAUGGAUCCGCGCUGCAUUAGCUAGUUGGUAAGGUAACGGCUUACCAAGGCAACGAUGCAUAGCCGACCUGAGAGGGUGAUCGGCCACACUGGAACUGAGACACGGUCCAGACUCCUGAGGGAGGCAGCAGUAGGGAAUCUUACGCAAUGGGCGAAAGCCUGACGGAGCAACGCCGCGUGAGUGAUGGAGGUCUUCGGAUCGUAAAACUCUGUUAUUAGGGAAGAACAUAUGUGUAAGUAACUGUGCACAUCUUGACGGUACCUAAUCAGAAAGCCACGGCUAACUACGUG